CGCCGCCGCGGUAAUACGGAGGGUGCAAGCGUUAUCCGGAUUUAUUGGGUUUAAAGGGUCCGUAGGCGGACUUAUAAGUCAGUGGUGAAAGCCUGUCGCUUAACGAUAGAACUGCCAUUGAUACUGUAAGUCUUGAGUAUAUUUGAGGUAGCUGGAAUAAGUAGUGUAGCGGUGAAAUGCAUAGAUAUUACUUAGAACACCAAUUGCGAAGGCAGGUUACCAAGAUAUAACUGACGCUGAGGGACGAAAGCGUGGGUAGCGAACAGGAUUAGAUACCCCCGUAGUCCCUGUCUCUUAUACA
This 301-nucleotide ribosomal RNA is filed under the name uncultured bacterium. RNAcentral describes it as "partial 16S ribosomal RNA". It matches the Rfam family "Bacterial small subunit ribosomal RNA", at positions 510 to 808 of the family's 1533-position model. The record is from RNAcentral.